GUGCCAGCAGCCGCGAUAAUACGUAGGGUGCGAGCGUUGUCCGGAAUUAUUGGGCGUAAAGAGCUCGUAGGCGGUCUGUCGCGUCUGCUGUGAAAACCCGAGGCUCAACCUCGGACCUGCAGUGGGUACGGGCAGACUAGAGUGCGGUAGGGGAGAAUGGAAUUCCUGGUGUAGCAGUGGAAUGCGCAGAUAUCAGGAGGAACACCGAUGGCGAAGGCAGUUCUCUGGGCCGUAACUGACGCUGAGGAGCGAAAGCGUGGGGAGCGAACAGGAUUAGAUACCCUUGUAGUCC
Molecule: ribosomal RNA, 292 nt
Filed under: uncultured bacterium
Lineage: Bacteria
Description: partial 16S ribosomal RNA
Rfam family: Bacterial small subunit ribosomal RNA
Source: RNAcentral